This 468-nucleotide ribosomal RNA is filed under the name uncultured bacterium. Its description in RNAcentral is "partial 16S ribosomal RNA". It matches the Rfam family "Bacterial small subunit ribosomal RNA", at positions 28 to 507 of the family's 1533-position model. The record is from RNAcentral.
GACGAACGCUGGCGGCGUGCUUAACACAUGCAAGUCGAACGGAAAGGCCCUGCUUUUGUGGGGUGCUCGAGUGGCGAACGGGUGAGUAACAAGUGAGUAACCUGCCCCUGACUUUGGGAUAACUUCAGGAAACUGGGGCUAAUACCGGAUAGGAGCUCCUGCUGCAUGGUGGGGGGUGGAAAGUUUCGGCGGUUGGGGAUGGACUCGCGGCUUAUCAGCUUGUUGGUGGGGUAGUGGCUUACCAAGGCUUUGACGGGUAGCCGGCCUGAGAGGGUGACCGGCCACAUUGGGACUGAGAUACGGCCCAGACUCCUACGGGAGGCAGCAGUGGGGAAUAUUGCACAAUGGGCGGAAGCCUGAUGCAGCAACGCCGCGUGCGGGAUGACGGCCUUCGGGUUGUAAACCGCUUUCGCCUGUGACGAAGCGUGAGUGACGGUAAUGGGUAAAGAAGCACCGGCUAACUACGUG